This 266-nucleotide signal recognition particle RNA is filed under the name Oscillospiraceae bacterium. Its description in RNAcentral is "signal recognition particle sRNA large type". It matches the Rfam family "Bacterial large signal recognition particle RNA". Rfam says of the family: The signal recognition particle (SRP) is a universally conserved ribonucleoprotein involved in the co-translational targeting of proteins to membranes. Archaeal SRP consists of a 7S RNA and homologues of the eukaryotic SRP19 and SRP54 proteins. The record is from RNAcentral. Lineage: Bacteria; Bacillati; Bacillota; Clostridia; Eubacteriales; Oscillospiraceae.
CUGCACUAGUCGGGGAGCCAGCGGUGCCCUGUAACCUGCAAUCCGCUACAGCAGGGAUGAAGUCCCAUUUUAGGGGGUACGUUAUGUCGUUUGCCCAAGGCGGGCAGCGUUGAUGAUCCGGUCUCGAGCAACGGAUCCUUCCGAACCAUGUCAGGCGGGGAACCGAGCAGCAUUAAGGGAGACCUUCCGUGUGCCUUGAGGCAGCCGGGUCUGAGUCAGCCACUUUGGUUAGCGGGCAUGAUGUAUUUUCGACGAUGGGUGUGCAG